AUGCAGCGCAUCCUCAGCUUCUGCUUUGGGUGGUCUGUAGGGAAACAGAAGUUUGAGAGGUCACUCACUAACGGGGAGAGGUCUUCCUCUGCAGACAGCACAGAGAGAGCACAGGAAGGCCUCUCAACCGCCCCUCUCUGUUUCCCACAAAAGGGAGAUCUUGCAAAUCCUCUGCCUGUCCUCCAGGAGGGAGAGCCUUCCAAGGCCCCCUCUCCUCCAAAGGAGGAGAGCCCAAGCAACCCCCUGCCCCCUGGUGAGAGGGGGAGCCCAGCCACCCCCUUUCCCUGCAGGAAGGGGCAGAAUCAGAGCUCUGUGGCUGGAGCAUUGCCGCCUUCAGGCAGCAAGAGUGCCGAGGGCUCACUUUGCACUGGGGACAGUGAUGACCUAGCUCAGCCACUGGAGAAGGGAAGCAUGUUUGAGGACAAUAAUAAUGCCUCUUCAGAGGAACUGAGGCCUGAUGCUGCCCAGGUGCCUCCUGAAGAUUCAGUCCCGAUUCAGCUCCUGUUGUGCAGAUGCRGCCAUGUCCCUCCUCACAGACUCUUCCUCAGUGGAGGUGUUUCCCAGGCAGUUACCAGGAAAAGCAAAAGCAGCUCUUUCACUGCAARGGAACCUGGUGCAUCUGGAUCCUCAUGUGUGAUCUCCUGUGAAGAAGCACCAGGUGACAUAAAUGAAACAUAUUGGCAAUGUUACCAAGCUAUGCUCCCAGUUCAUUCAUCUUCGGAAAGCGUCCGCAAGCAGGAGGACAAGAAGAUGCAGCUUGCAACCACACAGUCUUACUUUGAGAAGGGCGUUCCAGCCAACAACACAGAAGGUGAGCUGCUGYGGGAAGGUGUGCAAGUGGGAAUGGAUGGAAGAAAAAAUGUCAGGACCAACAUGGAUGCUGAUGCGAUGCAGCUGAGUUAUGUCCCUGGUGUGUACGUGUGCCCCCUUCCCACAAAUGGUGAGGUGACUUGGUCAGAGAAUGCUGUCAGUCACCCCCUUCUCUCCUCCUCCUGUCUGACUGCUGCCAGACAAACUCCUGGCUCAGAAAGUGACUGUUACAAGUGUUUGAAGCCAAAACUGGAAACACCAGAGAGUUACAGAAGUGCAGACAGAGGAUCUGUGGUCAACCCUUGCCUGGGGAGUAGAAGCUGGUGCAAGUGCUCCCAAGAAAUCCUGCUCCACCGUCUGGAAGAAGGUGCUAGYUACAAGGGGAGGAGAGGAACCCUUUCAAAAAGAAAUAUCCCAGACAUCCUCCAGGAUAUUUCACAAAAUCACCACUGCUAG
This 1266-nucleotide long non-coding RNA is filed under the name Apteryx haastii (Great spotted kiwi). RNAcentral's name for it is "lncRNA (ENSAHAG00000016840.1)". Lineage: Eukaryota; Metazoa; Chordata; Aves; Apterygiformes; Apterygidae. The record is from RNAcentral.